UAAAAUAUUUAAAAUCUAGGUUUAGUAGAUACUUUGUAUUUGCUAAUUAAAAGGAAGUUGGGUGAAAAUCCCACACGGUCCCGCCACUGUAAGGGCUUUGCUUUUCAAUAGAGAUGGAAAAAUUCUCAGAGAAAGCAUGCUCAAGUCAGAUACUGCCUGAUUUUCUGCACUGUG
Molecule: non-coding RNA, 174 nt
Filed under: Alkaliphilus oremlandii OhILAs
Lineage: Bacteria; Bacillati; Bacillota; Clostridia; Peptostreptococcales; Natronincolaceae
Also listed under: 1 other name
Source: RNAcentral